AUGCAAUUGCCUGUACCUAGUGUUCCUUGGGAGGAUAUAUCUAUGGACUUUGUUUUAGGUUUACCUCGAACAAAGAAGGGGAGGGAUAGCAUAUUUGUUGUCGUGGAUAGGUUCUCGAAAAUGGCACACUUUAUACCAUGUCAUAAAAGCGAUGAUGCUGUUAAUGUUGCUGAUUUGUUCUUUCGUGAAAUUAUUCGCUUACAUGGUGUGCCAAAUAAUAUUGUUUCAGAUCGUGAUACUAAAUUUCUCAGCCACAUUUGGAGAUGUUUAUGGGCUAAGUUGAGGACUAAGCUGCUUUUUAGUACUACUUGUCACCCCCAAACUGAUGGACAAACUGAAGUAGUGAAUAGAACAUUGUCUACUAUGGUUAGGGCUGUUUUGAAGAAUAACAAGAAAAUGUGGGAAGAAUGCUUGCCUCAUAUUGAAUUUGCUUAUAAUCGUUCAUUGCAUUCUACUACUAAGAUGUGCCCUUUUGAAAUUGUGUAUGGUUUCCUACCUCGUGCACCUAUUGAUUUGUUGCCUCUUCCAUCUUCAGAGAAGGUUAAUUUUGAUGCUAAAGAACAUUCUGAAUUGAUUUUAAAAAUGCAUGAGUUAACUAAGGAAAACAUUGAGUGUAUGAAUGCUAAAUAUAAACUUGCUGGAGAUAAGGGUAGAAAACAUGUUGUGUUUGCGCCUGGAGAUCUUGUUUGGUUACAUUUGCGUAAAGAUAGAUUUCCUAAUCUGCGCAAAUCAAAGCUAAUGCCACAUGCUGAUGGUCCUUUUAAGGUGUUAGAGAAAAUAAAUGAUAAUGCAUAUAAACUUGAGCUACCUAUAGAUUUUGGGGUUAGUCCCACUUUUAACAUUGUAGAUUUGAAGCCUUAUUUGGGUGAGGAAGAUGCGCUUCCGUCGAGGACGACUUCAUUUCAAGAAGGGGAGGAUGAUGAGGACAUCAAUACCAUUGUUACACCCACAUCCCCUACUGUUACAUAUACUGGACCAAUUACUAGAGCUCGCGCACGCCAAUUAAAUUACCAGGUACUUUCGUUUCUUAGUAAUGAUUCUAAUGUUCAUGAGAUUAUGAUGCUGCCUAAAUUGGAUACAUUUGUUUUGCUUACAAAUGAAGGGCCUAGCUUGGAGAAGGAUGAACAUUGGAGCAAGAACACGCAUGGAGUUGAUGGCAUGUGCAAGGGGAUCAAGAACGGAGUUACAAGUGAUGAUUUCAGGACUUUGAAGCCGCCAUAA
Molecule: ribosomal RNA, 1221 nt
Filed under: Triticum aestivum (bread wheat)
Lineage: Eukaryota; Viridiplantae; Streptophyta; Magnoliopsida; Poales; Poaceae
Description: partial small subunit ribosomal RNA
Source: RNAcentral